GGAUCAUUGCUCAGCUCAUCACAUACCCUCUUCAGACUGUGAAUACUCGUCAGCAAACAGAGCGCGAUGUUAAGAAGGAGAAGAGGAAACUUGGAACAUUUCAACAGAUGUGUCAGGUUGUAAAACAUGAAGGAUGGGACCGGCUUUACGGUGGCUUGGGGCCGUCUCUGGUGGGUACGGCUGCAUCUCAGGGCGUUUACUAUUAUUUCUACCAAAUAUUCAGGAACAAGGCUGAAGUUGCUUCUCUUGAACGAAUGAAGGCAGGAAUUGGAGAUGGAUCUGU
RNAcentral lists this unclassified non-coding RNA (283 nucleotides) under Hevea brasiliensis (rubber tree). Lineage: Eukaryota; Viridiplantae; Streptophyta; Magnoliopsida; Malpighiales; Euphorbiaceae. The record is from RNAcentral.